RNAcentral lists this long non-coding RNA (2097 nucleotides) under Zostera marina. RNAcentral's name for it is "long non-coding RNA (ZMAR_LNC005813)". Lineage: Eukaryota; Viridiplantae; Streptophyta; Magnoliopsida; Alismatales; Zosteraceae. The record is from RNAcentral.
UCCGGUAGUUAAUUCCGUUUUCUCCCAAAUACGAUUGGGCAGAAAACCCUAACUCCGGUCGGCCUCUCCGGUGGACGAAAAGCUUCCUGACUCUGCGAAGGUCUCACAUUGCAGUAGGCGACGUCUCUAGAGCAAGUUUUAAUAUGGUAUCGUCGGUACAUGCUCCUGGUGAUCUUUCCCUGGUCAACAGACCUCAUGCUUCCGCGCUCUCACCGCCUGAUCGCCUUGCUGUCUCCUCUGCCCGGCCGAACAACCCAAUUCAAACGCCGGCAGCAUCAUACCAUUCUUCGUCUGGCUUCACAGGAAAAUCGAAAGCAAAUGACUUUGAAGAAGGGUUAUAUAACAGUUCUUUUUUUAAAAGAUUAAGAACUGAAAGGUACGUCGUCUCUCCAUUACAGGACCCAGAGUCUCCAUUUUUUCUGAUCUCCGGUGAUCAUCCAUGGGCUAUUUUAGUGCCCGAUAGGUUGGUUGGAGAGACCAAUUAUAUCACUUGAGCUAAUGGUAUGAAUGUAUCAUUAGUAUCAAGAAAGAAAGAAUUUUUUAUAAAUGGACAAAUUAAAAUGCCUGAGGAUAUCAAUAGUAGGGAAUACAAUAUCUGGAAAAUAGUAAAUGGCUUGGUCUUAGCUUGAAUCUUGAAUUCAGUUUCCCCUCAAAUUCAAUCUACACUAAUGUACACAAACAAUGCACAUCAAAUAUGGUUGGAUUUAGAGUCUAGAUAUAAACAAGGUAAUGCCCCUAAGAUCAAUCAGAUCAAGUAUGAAUUAUGCUGCUUACAACAAUGAACACUAUCAGCAUCUGAAUUUUAUGAUAAAUUCAGGUCAAUUUGGAGUCAAUUAGUCCAAAUUGAUGAAAUAAAAGAAGAAUUUUGCAAAGUAUGAAAAAAAUAUAUUUUAGAAAGGAAGAAAAUGAUAUGAUCCACCAAUUCCUCCUAGGCCUUAAUGAGAGUUUUUUCAAUUUAAGAACUCAAAUUUUAUCUCUAGAAAAGCUACCCAAUAUGAACAAGGUUCUUGGGCUAGUCAUACAAGAAGAAAAACAUAGGUCCAAAUUUAGAGAUCAAAAUACUGAAAAAAUAGAGUCUGCAUUUUAUGCCAAGAACAAGAACACAUCUGAGAAAACAAAGAUCAUGUAUUCCAGGAAUGGAAAGAAGUUAGACACUAGAUUUUAUUGCGAUAAUUGCAAAUACUAUGGUCACACCCGGGAAAAAUGUUACCAUCUAGUUGGAAGACCCAAGGAUAAAAUACAAAAGAAAUAUCAGAGAAAGAAGAACCAACAAAAUACUGAAAAUUCAGAAGUUGCAAAUCAAGUCACUUCUACAAACAAUCAACAACAACUAGUGCUUAGCCAAAAAGAAAUUCAGCUUUUCAAAGAAUUGAUUUCUUCAACAAAAGCCAAUAACUCUGGUAAUAAUUUAUCUUUUUCAUUUAAUACUACCUCUCAUAUUGAUAAAUGGAUAGUAGAUGCGAGGGCAUCACAACACAUGACAGGUAAUAUGCAUCUUUUCACUAAACCCUUAAUCCAAGAAUUUAAUCAUUUUGUCACCAUACCUAGUGGCAAAACACUUAUAGUUAAGGGGAUAGGAUGCAUUAAAAUUUCAGAAAACCUAACCCUCAAAAAUGUAUUAUAUAUCCCUCAAUUUAAGGUUAAUCUAAUAGCUAUAAGCAAAUUAACCUUAGACAAUGACAUUAAAGUCAUUUUUGAUGAUCGUUGUUUUGAGUUCAGGAAAACAAAUCCGAGAAAGUGAUUUGCAAAGUGAAUUAAGCAAUGGGCUAUAUUUCUUCACCCCCAUCUUUUUCUAGCAAAUUCAGUCAUUGAUUUCAGAACAUGUCACCAUAGAUUCGGAAAAGAUGAAAAUUUUAGCCUCCAAGUACAAAAUUAAGUACAAAAAUACUAAAUAUGAUUGUAAUAGAAAUAAUGAUUGUAAUAGUAGUAUGAAUUCUGUUUUGAAUCCUAUAUCAAAUAAAGAUAUUGUAUUGAAUGAUAAAAAUUCUAUUUUGAAUAAAGAUGAUAUUUUGGCUAAAAAUGCCAUUUCAAAUAAAAAUUCAAUUUCUCUUCAACAAAAAUCUGUUUUAGAUGAAAUUAAAGCCAUUCAAUAUAAUU